GCCAAAUGGCGCGUGCUAUACAUGCAAGUCGAGCGGACCAAAUCGGAGCUUGCUCUGAUUUGGUCAGCGGCGGACGGGUGAGUAACACGUGGGCAACCUGCCCGCAAGACCGGGAUAACUCCGGGAAACCGGAGCUAAUACCGGAUAACACCGAAGACCGCAUGGUCUUUGGGUGAAAGGCGGCCUUUGGCUGUCACUUGCGGAUGGGCCCGCGGCGCAUUAGCUAGUUGGUGAGGUAACGGCUCACCAAGGCGACGAUGCGUAGCCGGCCUGAGAGGGUGACCGGCCACACUGGGACUGAGACACGGCCCAGACUCCUACGGGAGGCAGCAGUAGGGAAUCUUCCGCAAUGGGCGAAAGCCUGACGGAGCGACGCCGCGUGAGCGAAGAAGGCCUUCGGGUCGUAAAGCUCUGUUGUGAGGGACGAAGGAGCGCCGUUCGAAGAGGGCGGCGCGGUGACGGUACCUCACGAGGAAGCCCCGGCUAACUACGUGCCAGCAGCCGCGGUAAUACGUAGGGGGCGAGCGUUGUCCGGAAUUAUUGGGCGUAAAGCGCGCGCAGGCGGUUCCUUAAGUCUGAUGUGAAAGCCCACGGCUCAACCGUGGAGGGUCAUUGGAAACUGGGGGACUUGGGUGCAGGAGAGGAGAGCGGAAUUCCACGUGUAGCGGUGAAAUGCGUAGAGAUGUGGAGGAACACCAGUGGCGAAGGCGGCUCUCUGGCCUGCAACUGACGCUGAGGCGCGAAAGCGUGGGGAGCAAACAGGAUUAGAUACCCUGGUAGUCCACGCCGUAAACGAUGAG
This 800-nucleotide ribosomal RNA is filed under the name bacterium enrichment culture clone XM70R2. RNAcentral describes it as "bacterial SSU rRNA". It matches the Rfam family "Bacterial small subunit ribosomal RNA", at positions 35 to 813 of the family's 1533-position model. The record is from RNAcentral.